Molecule: ribosomal RNA, 460 nt
Filed under: uncultured bacterium
Lineage: Bacteria
Description: partial 16S ribosomal RNA
Rfam family: Bacterial small subunit ribosomal RNA
Source: RNAcentral
CCUACGGGAGGCAGCAGUGAGGAAUAUUGGUCAAUGGACGAGAGUCUGAACCAGCCAAGUAGCGUGAAGGAUGACUGCCCUAUGGGUUGUAAACUUCUUUUAUAAGGGAAUAAAACGAGGCACGUGUGCCCUUUUGCAUGUACUUUAUGAAUAAGGAUCGGCUAACUCCGUGCCAGCAGCCGCGGUAAUACGGAGGAUCCGAGCGUUAUCCGGAUUUAUUGGGUUUAAAGGGAGCGUAGAUGGGUUGUUAAGUCAGUUGUGAAAGUUUGCGGCUCAACCGUAAAAUUGCAAUUGAAACUGGCAGUCUUGAGUACAGGAGAGGUAGGCGGAAUUCGUGGUGUAGCGGUGAAAUGCUUAGAUAUCACGAAGAACCCCGAUUGCGAAGGCAGCUUACUAGACUGUGACUGACAUUGAUGCUCGAAAGUGUGGGUAUCAAACAGGAUUAGAUACCCUAGUAGUC